RNAcentral lists this ribosomal RNA (1481 nucleotides) under metagenome. RNAcentral describes it as "bacterial SSU rRNA". It matches the Rfam family "Bacterial small subunit ribosomal RNA". The record is from RNAcentral.
AGAGUUUGAUCCUGGCUCAGGAUGAACGCUAGCGGCAGGCCUAACACAUGCAAGUCGAACGGUAGGGACCACUUCGGUGGUUACACGAGUGGCGCACGGGUGAGUAACGCGUAUGCAACCUACCCUUAACAGGGGGAUAGCCCGAAGAAAUUCGGAUUAAUACCCCAUAAUACUAUAAAUAAGCAUUUAUUAAUAGUAAAAACUCCGGUGGUUAAGGAUGGGCAUGCGUACCAUUAGAUAGUUGGUAAGGUAACGGCUUACCAAGUCUACGAUGGUUAGGGGGCCUGAGAGGGUGGUCCCCCACACUGGUACUGAGACACGGACCAGACUCCUACGGGAGGCAGCAGUGAGGAAUAUUGCGCAAUGGACGAAAGUCUGACGCAGCCAUGCCGCGUGCAGGAUGACGGCCCUACGGGUUGUAAACUGCUUUUAUACAGGAAGAAAACUUUCAACGUGUUGAGAGUUGACGGUACUGUAAGAAUAAGCAUCGGCUAACUCCGUGCCAGCAGCCGCGGUAAUACGGAGGAUGCAAGCGUUAUCCGGAUUUAUUGGGUUUAAAGGGUGCGUAGGCGGAAUAAUAAGUCAGUGGUGAAAUCCUGCAGCUUAACUGUAGAACUGCCAUUGAUACUGUUAUUCUUGAAUAUAGUUGAGGUAGGCGGAAUGUGUAAUGUAGCGGUGAAAUGCAUAGAUAUUACACAGAACACCGAUUGCGUAGGCAGCUUACUAAGCUAUUAUUGACGCUGAGGCACGAAAGCGUGGGGAUCGAACAGGAUUAGAUACCCUGGUAGUCCACGCUGUAAACGAUGAUCACUAGCUGUUGGCGAUACACCGAUCAGCGGCAAAGCGAAAGCAUUAAGUGAUCCACCUGGGGAGUACGGUCGCAAGAUUGAAACUCAAAGGAAUUGACGGGGGCCCGCACAAGCGGAGGAACAUGUGGUUUAAUUCGAUGAUACGCGAGGAACCUUACCUGGGCUUAAAUGCAGGACGACGAACUGGGAAACCAGUUUUCUCUUCGGAGCGGACUGCGAGGUGCUGCAUGGUUGUCGUCAGCUCGUGCCGUGAGGUGUCGGGUUAAGUACCAUAACGAGCGCAACCCCUAUCGUUAGUUGCCAGCGGAUCAUGCCGGGGACUCUAACGAAACUGCCGGUGUAAACCGAGAGGAAGGUGGGGAUGACGUCAAAUCAGCACGGCCCUUAUGUCCAGGGCUACACACGUGUUACAAUGGUCGGUACAGAGGGUAGCUACUAUGUAAAUAGAUGCCAAUCUCGAAAACCGGUCUUAGUUCGGAUCGAAGUCUGCAACUCGACUUCGUGAAGCUGGAUUCGCUAGUAAUCGCGCAUCAGCCACGGCGCGGUGAAUACGUUCCCGGGCCUUGUACACACCGCCCGUCAAGCCAUGGAAGCUGGGGGUACCUGAAGUCUGUAACCGCAAGGAGCGGCCUAGGGUAAAACUAGUGACUGGGGCUAAGUCGUAACAAGGUA